RNAcentral lists this transfer RNA (63 nucleotides) under Phallosphaera gravelyi. Its description in RNAcentral is "tRNA-Cys". The record is from RNAcentral. Lineage: Eukaryota; Metazoa; Arthropoda; Insecta; Diptera; Sarcophagidae.
GGCUUUAUAGUCAAUAAUGACAUUAGACUGCAAUUCUAAAGGAGUAAGUAUUUACUAAGGCUU